CGUCACUUUGGAGCGAAAGAUUUCAAACGACUCUUUUGAGGAAUACUUGAGGGCCGAAAUGUUGUCGUUUCUCUCAUAACAGUGUACAAUUUAGCCAGCUGUUUUUAAAUAUAGCGUUUUGUGGACUGUUCACAGUCCCUGGUCUAAAGAUGAAAGGCUUGGAAAUGUCCGCUAUGAUACCUGCACUGCAGGAGCUAGCGAGGUGGAUGGUAACAGUACUCUCAGUAUGGGGUCCAUUUCUCUCUCUCUGUAUUCCAGGUGGAUGGUAACAGUACUCUCAGUAUGGGGUCCAUGUCUCUCUCUCUGUAUUCCAGGUGGAUGGUAACAGUACUCUCAGUAUGGGGUCCAUUUCUCUCUCUCUGUAUUCCAGGUGGAUGGUAACAGUACUCUCAGUAUGGGGUCCAUUUCUCUCUCUCUGUAUUCUAGGUGGAUGGUAACAGUAGUAGUCUCAGUAUGGGGUCCAUUUCUCUCUCUCUGUAUUCCAGGUGGAUGGUAACAGUAGUACUCUCAGUAUGGGGUCCAUUUCUCUCUCUCUCUGUAUUCCAGGUGCAUGGUAACAGUAGUACUCUCAGUAUAGGGUCCAUUUCUCUCUCUCUGUAUUCCAGGUGGAUGGUAACAGUAGUACUCUCAGUAUGGGGUCCAUUUCUCUCUCUCUCUGUAUUCCAGGUGCAUGGUAACAGUAGUACUCUCAGUAUGGGGUCCAUUUCUCUCUCUCUGUAUUCCAGGUGGAUGGUAACAGUAGUACUCUCAGUAUGGGGUCCAUUUCUCUCUCUCUGUAUUCCAGGUGGAUGGUAACAGUACUCUCAGUAUGGGGUCCAUUUCAAGCAGUUGAAGCGUCUGGUGGAGGAGCCAUCGUUCAGCCAGAUCCUGAUCCCUCUGCAGUCUGUCCUCAUCCCCACACUGCCCUCUACUGGCCCUGCAAACACACUGCACCACUACGCAUUCCCCGGACACUGGGCCUACCUUCAUGGCUUUGACGAUACUGUGUGUGUGGGGGGGAGAGGUGGAGAUCCUAGCCUCCCUCCAGGAGCCCAAGAAGAUCGGCCUGAAGGGACGUGAUGGGAGGAGCUACACUGUGAUGUGUAAACCUAAAGAUGACCUCCGGAAAGACUGUCGCCUCAUAGAAUUCAACUGCCUCAUCAACAAGUGUACUGAAGAUAUUUCUCCCAUGACCCUCUGGUAGAGUGGAGUAAACCCAAAGGACGAUCCAAGACACAGGCCAGUGAGAAUGGAGAGAUAGUCAACGAGAAGGCCAAGACCCAUGUGUGUGAGAUUGAUCAGCGUUUGCAGGGCGUGAUAAAGAGUCGUAACAAGGUGUUGGGUCUGCCUCUGUCUAUAGAGGGACACGUCCACUACCUGAUACAGGAGGCUACCGACGACUGUGUCAGAUGUACCUGGGCUGGGGACCUUACCUGUGAUUCACAUGGCUUCUCUGAGACACUGUUUACAAUGUUCAAUAUUUGACUUGUUCUGUUAUCAAUUAAAUUCUCUUCCUUUUUCAUGUUUUUGUAAAUCUGGAGUAAUUGUUAUGUUUUUCAUGGGGCAGUUGCAAAUUUUACCGUAAUAAAAAAAUAUAUAUUUUCUGAAA
Long non-coding RNA from Oncorhynchus nerka (sockeye salmon), 1588 nucleotides. RefSeq lists it as uncharacterized. The transcript has 5 exons. The record is from RefSeq and is a predicted model, not a curated record. NCBI's taxonomy places the organism in Eukaryota, Metazoa, Chordata, Actinopteri, Salmoniformes, Salmonidae.